This 73-nucleotide transfer RNA is filed under the name Heterocephalus glaber (naked mole-rat). It matches the Rfam family "tRNA". Rfam says of the family: Transfer RNA (tRNA) molecules are approximately 80 nucleotides in length. Their secondary structure includes four short double-helical elements and three loops (D, anti-codon, and T loops). The record is from Rfam by way of RNAcentral. Lineage: Eukaryota; Metazoa; Chordata; Mammalia; Rodentia; Bathyergidae.
GGUGAUGAAACUCAGUUGGUAGAGAACUUGUCUAGCACUCAUGAGGCCUUGGGUUCUAUUCCCAACACCCCCC